RNAcentral lists this long non-coding RNA (232 nucleotides) under Malus domestica (apple). Its description in RNAcentral is "long non-coding RNA (MDOM_LNC013880)". The record is from RNAcentral. Lineage: Eukaryota; Viridiplantae; Streptophyta; Magnoliopsida; Rosales; Rosaceae.
AAGCGCCAUAAGCCGAGCCAACCAAGGCAACAUAAGCCACGAGCCGAGCAGCCGAGCAGCAUGUGCUAUUUCUAGUUGAGCAUCAUUUCAGAUUAACCACCGCCUCAUAUCGAACAUCAGUUUAAGACAACAUCUAAUUACUUCGGCCCACACAUAGACUGAAUUUCAAGUCUCCAACUAAAAGACUCUCUUGACUGAAGACUUGGGGGACUACUGUUUAUACCAUAUUUAG